Molecule: non-coding RNA, 30 nt
Filed under: Rattus norvegicus (Norway rat)
Lineage: Eukaryota; Metazoa; Chordata; Mammalia; Rodentia; Muridae
Source: RNAcentral
AGAGGCUUUCUGUGAGACACAGGUGUCAGU